This is a long non-coding RNA of Bombus terrestris (buff-tailed bumblebee), 868 nucleotides long. RefSeq lists it as uncharacterized. The record is from RefSeq and is a predicted model, not a curated record. The transcript is spliced from 3 exons. NCBI's taxonomy places the organism in Eukaryota, Metazoa, Arthropoda, Insecta, Hymenoptera, Apidae.
UUUGUUUAUCACUUGAUUCGCGUUUAAAUUGUAAUUAUGGACACAAUUAAAAUGUAAUUUAGCGAAAAUUACGACGAUGGACUCGACUGUUAUAACCGGAAAUACAAUUUUGGCGGUUAAUAAAUGAACAUCUAGUGGCGCCAUCUACUGACAUUUAAAAUUCAAAAUUUAAUAUUUUGAAUUUAAAAGAGACUGUAAUAUUCUAGUUGACGAUUGGAAUGUACAUAUUUUGUUUUUAAAACUUUUUAUGAAUUUUUCUUAUAAUAAGAUUUUUAAUAACAAAACUCAUCAUUUUUCAUAAUAGAGUUCAGGGCCUGAAUCAACCAAUGGUAGCGCUGUUAGCGAAAUAUGACAUUUCCGAGUAAACUAUUGAACACAUUUUAUAAAAUUGAAAGCAAUAUUCAAACGUUUUUCAUGAUAUUUCUGUUAAUCAGAUGUAUCUUUAACUGUCCUGUGAAAUAAGAUAAGAUGAUUAUUCAGGACUACUGAGGAUUUUAAGAAAAUGUUACUAAUCGCAAAAUGUUGGUUAUAGAAUAUUCAGAGCAGAGUUUUCGCGGGGAUGCCGCUGGUAUAAUUUGUCAAGCGUGGCCGAAGGAAAGAGCGACGGCUUCGAGCGAGGAAAUUUAUGGGUCGCAACGUGUCGACGGAAACCUUAAAUUUUAACGUCCCUGUCGCGUACUCGGCCGGGCCCUGCCUUGCCUGUUAAGGACCUUGUGAAGGGGGAUUACGACUUGACUGCUACGAAGCGAGCGUGGAACACCGAGGGGUGGUCUCUCCUCUCUCUUCGCGGUGGGGGAGAAUCAGAGAAGUAUGGUGGUGGUUCUGUGGCAGGGAAGGGGGUGGCGUUGCGACGGUGCCACAGGAAAAG